RNAcentral lists this long non-coding RNA (2841 nucleotides) under Carassius auratus (goldfish). Its description in RNAcentral is "lncRNA (ENSCARG00000023509.1)". Lineage: Eukaryota; Metazoa; Chordata; Actinopteri; Cypriniformes; Cyprinidae. The record is from RNAcentral.
AUGUUAAAGUUAGCUGUCACAUUAACAUAUUUAACAGGCAACAAAUCUGAGACAAGCAUCUUUAGUGUUAACAUAUUAUGUAAGAGGACUUCAGAAGUAAACUCUGCUGCCUCCUGUAUGUGUUUAGAGAAGCAUCCUGUCCCGACUCCAGCAGGAAAUAUCACAACACUCACAGUUUCUAUUUCAGAUGACACUAAUAUGUACUACUUCCUCCUCACCACACUGCCUGUAAUGCUGCUGUUGAUAUUGGAUGUGUCGGGGGUGUUCUGCUUCAGAGUCAUGUCAAGGAGGAGAAAAGAACAGAAUGAAAUCUAUGCUGUGCCAGGACAGUGGGUGCGUCCCGUAGCUCCAAAAUGUCAGAAGGAUUAUAACGCACUGACAAAUUCAACCAGUCUGGAGCUCAUCUGGAGUACAUGAGCUCUGAAAUUAACAGUAUGACGUCUGCAAAGAGUCAGUUUGAGGACUAUGAGAGCAACCAGAGCCGGCCCACACAGUGCGGUUUUGUCACAAAUUACCUCUACGAGAGCUGCCGGGGGUCCUCGGCAGUGGAGUUCGGAUGGGUGGACAAUGACAUCUAUGGAUACUAAAACAUUAUACAGUGUAUACUGACUGGUCACGUCUCCGUCAUUAGUGUGUCUGGCUCUUCCACCAUGUCUGUAUGUCUGCUCUUUGUUGAAAGAGCAGACGGAAGUCAUUGGGGGUCUAAUGCAGGGGUGUAUAGGUUCCCAUAACUGACUAUACAAAGAAGCAUAAAGGUGUCAUCGGCUUGUGAGAGCUUCCUCUGUGGAAGCUGGCGUCCUGGAACAGGACCUUCCAUUUGGAAAUUCACAAAACAGUGCGCUGACCUCUCAGCCCAUCUCAACAACAUCCUUCUGUGUCUCUGAGAACGGCCUCUCUGAAGGAUACCUACUGCUGUUCCCUUGUUUCUGAAGACCGUCUAGUUGCUUCGUAAGCUAUUUAGUGUAAAAACUGAAUGAAAGGAUUUGUUUAUAUAAAACAUUAUUGUAAAAUAUUAAAUAUGUAUUUAAAAAGAUAAAUAAUGAGUUUUUUUUUUGCUGUAUUUGGAUUGUAAAUGAUAUAUUGUUUGUCCUAAUAAUAAUAAUAAUAAUAAUAAUAUCUUUGUCAAAUGUUUGUGUUUAAUCAACAUUGUUCCCACACUCCUGGAAAACCUGGAAAUGUUAGGGAAUUUUAAAAACAGGCUUGGAAAGGAAGACUGUAUAUUUUUAUAGUGAAUAUACAUUUUUCUCGUUAGUUAUACUUGGUAAGAAGUUGAGUGCAGUUUAUGUAAAAUCUUUUUGACCGCAAAAGUUGUGGGAAUGGUCUGACCUAACCCUAAUGAAUUAUUUAAUUUUAUUAUAUUAGAUUAAAAGAAAAACUUUUUUGAAAAUCUAAACAGAUGUUUUUGUUAUGAAUGCUAAGAAUAAAUCUCUACCUUUUCCAUAUCAUCAAAUGUCACUGCUGCAUGUUUAGCUAUAACUUCACAUCGGGUUCAGAUGACUCGGUUUCCAAACCACUCUGUUAUUUAACAUUUUGUACCCUUUUUAUCGACUGCGUCACUCUCAAUUUAUUGCAAAUAUUCAAACGUUGUUUUUUGGAAAUGCAUUAUUAUUCAGAUGAAUUCCCUGACGUCAUCAGAGCUGUAAGAGCAGUGAAGUAUUUUAUAAGGCCUGAGUGACUGCAGUACAUCAUGUGACCGUGAGGUGUCAUCAUAUGAUAGUCCAUCUAAAACUGAAUUACGUGCAGCUUUUGAGGACAUAUUUGUUUGCACUUGUGUCACGGAGGUGUUUAAAUUACAUUUUCCAAUACAAAACAUGCACUGUCUGUCUGUAAUGCGUUUCUACGCUUACAUACUCUUAAUAUGAAUGACUUGUUUAUUAAACAGUUCAGUAGCUACUCUCCAGUAAAACUCGCGCUCAGGUUGAUUAUUCAGAUAUAUUUCAUGUUUGUGACAAAAUGCUGCUUUAUAUGAUUGUGAUUAUGUAAUUGAGCAAAUAUGUGCCACGCCUGCUUUGAUGUCUACAGGGUUGGGUUGCAAACAUUUGUCUUAGUGCCAUAGAUGUCAAAAUGUUACAUUACUUAAGGCAAUUAGUGAGAUUCCGGGGACCUCCAGGAGGCAGCAAAUAGGGUUAAUGGAAAUGUUUAUAUGUAUAUUUAACACGAUUUAAAUAAUAAAUAAAAUGCAAAUAAGUCAAAUAUACUAAUGCAUCUAACAGACCAGUACAGUUUAAGUGGGGUCUUUACACAGAAAACUAUCAAGAGUCUCCGUGGAAUCUAAAAGAUCGAAAACCUCAGACUUAAGAUAUACAUAAGUGUCGAUAAAGCCGGAAAACCACCGCGUAAAGCCUUCAAACACCGAGCACGGUGCCUUCGGUUCUCAUUCCUCGACUGAAGCGCACGAGAGACUGUCAAAGUCGAUGUCGGGUUUCGCAGCCAGCGCGCGACGCUCCGGCCGUUGACGUAAGAGGUGGGUCUGGUCGUCUUGGAAACGAAUUGGCACUGGAGUGUGGAAGCGCUUCGAAGCCCCGCCCCUUGCACAAAUACCCCCACAGGCUCUGACGUCAAUGCACGUCAGCCAGAGAACAUGAUGCCUCCUGAAAGUCAGCUCGUGUAGUCUCGCAAACACAGCUGAAAUAUUAGAGCUCUAUUGUAUUGGAGGAGGUAGCGUGAUACAUCGGCGCGCUCCCAAACGCUCUUCUGGUGAGACUGGAGCGGACCGCCGGCGAGCACACUGGGGCUGGCACGCUGGCACGCUGGCACGCUGGCAUUUCGACACGGCUUAGCUUGUGCUAGACGUGUUAUCUUGAGGCUCAAGUGGCAGGUCUCUAUCUUCUCGCCACAAAC